This 731-nucleotide long non-coding RNA is filed under the name Daucus carota (carrot). Its description in RNAcentral is "long non-coding RNA (DCAR_LNC006938)". Lineage: Eukaryota; Viridiplantae; Streptophyta; Magnoliopsida; Apiales; Apiaceae. The record is from RNAcentral.
CCAGCCACGACUACAGGGAAAUAACGCAGCAAACUCGAAUACAAAACAAACUCAGACUCAGACUCGAUAAAGACUCAGCAAAACACAGCCUGAACUCGGCGAAACAGAGCAAGCAAAAGACUCGGAAACUCGACUCAAGAACAGCAGAAAAGAAACUCACACACUCGGACAGAUUGCAAACUCGACAAAACUCAGCAGAAAGCUCAGAACUCGGACUCACAAAUUUCAACUGAGCUACAGGACUAAACUCGGUGAAAUAACAAAACGAAACAAGGAGACAACACAGCUCGACGGACUCAGCAAUGACUCGACUCUGGCGACUGAAAACAGAGCCCAGGAUUAAGACAAUAACAAACCCAACUCGAAACUAUCUAAACAGCGACUCAAUACAAAAUCCAGACUACACGGCGAGGUGACUCGGCAACUCGGGCUCAACUAAUAGAUAACUCGGAAAUGUAAAACAAAACAACACAAACCAACAAAUUAACAAAGCAACUUGGGAACCCAGUAAACAGAUACUCAGAGUCAGCCGAAAGAUUCAUGCAGCAAAUUAUAACCAGAAUAGAACAGGGGGAGGGGGUUUUGUUUUAGAAAACAGGGGAAAGAGGGUUUAGUGUUUUAAACGAAAUAAGGCAGUGAUUCUUUUAAUUAAAACAAAACUUGUUAAAUCGCGUAAAUAUAUUUAAAGUAUGACUGCUGAUUAACAAACCAAGUGCCGAAUUAACAUAAAU